This 253-nucleotide ribosomal RNA is filed under the name uncultured bacterium. RNAcentral describes it as "partial 16S ribosomal RNA". It matches the Rfam family "Bacterial small subunit ribosomal RNA", at positions 524 to 776 of the family's 1533-position model. The record is from RNAcentral.
UACGUAGGGGGCGAGCGUUGUCCGGAAUCAUUGGGCGUAAAGCGCGUGUAGGCGGCUCGGAAAGUCUGGUGUGAAAUCUUGAGGCUCAACCUCAAGCUGUCACUGGAUACUGUCGAGCUUGAGUCCGGAAGAGGAGAGUGGAAUUCCUGGUGUAGCGGUGGAAUGCGCAGAUAUCAGGAAGAACACCCGUGGCGAAGGCGGCUCUCUGGGACGGUACUGACGCUGAGACGCGAAAGCGUGGGGAGCGAACAGG